GGGAAUUUUGGGCAAUGGGCGAAAGCCUGACCCAGCAACGCCGCGUGAAGGAUGAAGUAUUUCGGUAUGUAAACUUCGAAAGAAUGGGAAGAAUCAAUGACGGUACCAUUUAUAAGGUCCGGCUAACUACGUGCCAGCAGCCGCGGUAAUACGUAGGGACCAAGCGUUGUUCGGAUUUACUGGGCGUAAAGGGCGCGUAGGCGGCAAUUCAAGUCAGCUGUGAAAUCUCUGGGCUUAACCCAGAACGGCCAGCUGAUACUGCUUUGCUAGAGUGCGGUAGGGGCAAUCGGAAUUCUCGGUGUAGCGGUGAAAUGCGUAGAUAUCGAGAGGAACACCUGAGGUGAAGACGGGUUGCUGGGCCGACACUGACGCUGAGGCGCGAAAGCCAGGGGAGCAAA
Molecule: ribosomal RNA, 398 nt
Filed under: uncultured bacterium
Lineage: Bacteria
Description: bacterial SSU rRNA
Rfam family: Bacterial small subunit ribosomal RNA
Source: RNAcentral